Molecule: long non-coding RNA, 214 nt
Filed under: Setaria viridis
Lineage: Eukaryota; Viridiplantae; Streptophyta; Magnoliopsida; Poales; Poaceae
Description: long non-coding RNA (SVIR_LNC009951)
Source: RNAcentral
AACUUGAAAUGAGUGAUAAGCAUCACUGCUCUGAUUCUAAUUCUGCGCUUUCGAGGAAAAUAAGGCACAAAUAUGAGAUAUUACCUGACAUAGCCUUGACUUUGAACUCAUUCUUUUUCCUUGUGAAUUUAAAGAUGACAAACUCAAAAAAGAUCUUUAUGGGUUGGUGUGGAGCAGCAUAAUCAAAUCGCUUGCAUAGAGUAGCCUACCUAGU